GAGGAAGCCCGGUGCGACUCCGGCGCGGUCCCGCCACUGUGACCCGGACGCCUCGCCCGAGGCGCCCCGGGGAGUCAGGAACUC
This 84-nucleotide non-coding RNA is filed under the name Geodermatophilus nigrescens. The record is from RNAcentral. Lineage: Bacteria; Bacillati; Actinomycetota; Actinomycetes; Geodermatophilales; Geodermatophilaceae.